AGGGAAAGAUGAAAAGCACUUUGGAAAGAGAGUUAAACAGUACGUGAAAUUGUCAAAAGGGAAGCACUGGAGGUUAGACGUGUGUCGUUGGAUUCAGCUUUUUCUAAAAGUGUAUUUCCGGCGGUACAGGCCAGCAUCGGUUUUCUGGGCCGGAUAAGGGGGAGAGGAACGUAGCUUUCUUCGGAAAGUGUUAUAGCCUCUUUCUUGAUACGGCUUGGGGGACCGAGGCAUGCAGCGCGCCUUUUAGGCGGACCUUCGGGUACCUUCGCGCUUAGGAUGCUGGCGUAAUGGCCUUCAGUGACCCGUCUUGAAACACGGACCAAGGAGUCUAACAUGUCUGCGAGUCUUUGGGUGGCAAACCCGUGGGCGCAAUGAAAGUGAAUGCAGGUGGGAUCCUUCGGGAGCACCAUCGACCGGUCUCGAAGCUUUAUGUGGAAGGAUCUGAGUAAGAGCAUAUAUGUUGGGACCCGAAAGAUGGUGAACUAUGCCUGAAUAAGGGUGAAGCCAGAGGAAACUCUUGGUGGAGGCUCGUAGCGGGUUCUGACGUGCAAAUCGAUCGUCAAAUUUGGGUAUAGGGGGCGAAAGACUAAUCGAACCAUUAAAUUUACUAGGUGGGUUAAAAAGGGGAAUGGAAAAGGUACCCCUAGUCGACGUCAAGGUCGGCGACACUGUCAAAUUGCGGGAACUUCCUAAAGACUUUUUGCUACCAAGCAGGGCUGGAAACAGACUCUGUGGCCGGGGUAAUGACCUAGGGUAUGGUAAAAACGCAAAGUAUGUAACAAUGGAUAAUCCGCAGCCAAGCCCUAAGUGUGUUUUUACAUAUAUGGGUGCUGUUCAGAGACUAUAUGGCAGUGGGUCUUGCUCGAAAGAGACAAGGCUUAAGAUAGAGUCCGUCCCCCG
RNAcentral lists this ribosomal RNA (900 nucleotides) under Laurobasidium hachijoense. Its description in RNAcentral is "LSU rRNA". It matches the Rfam family "Eukaryotic large subunit ribosomal RNA", at positions 356 to 1628 of the family's 3401-position model. Lineage: Eukaryota; Fungi; Basidiomycota; Exobasidiomycetes; Exobasidiales; Cryptobasidiaceae. The record is from RNAcentral.